This 65-nucleotide transfer RNA is filed under the name Ulva compressa. RNAcentral describes it as "tRNA-Phe". Lineage: Eukaryota; Viridiplantae; Chlorophyta; Ulvophyceae; Ulvales; Ulvaceae. The record is from RNAcentral.
AGUAAUUUAAUUUGUAUUAAAUAAAUUUUAGUUUUUUGAUUAGUUUAAAUUGAAAUAAAUAACUA